UAGCUAGUUGGUGAGGUAAAGGCUCACCAAGGCGACGAUCUGUAGCGGGUCUGAGAGGAUGAUCCGCCACACUGGAACUGAGACACGGUCCAGACUCCUACGGGAGGCAGCAGUGGGGAAUUUUGGACAAUGGGGGCAACCCUGAUCCAGCCAUGCCGCGUGAGUGAAGAAGGCCUUCGGGUUGUAAAGCUCUUUCGGCCGGGAAGAAAUCGUAUGGGUUAAUACCCUGUGCGGAUGACGGUACCGGCAUAAGAAGCACCGGCUAACUACGUGCCAGCAUCCGCGGUAAUACGUAGGGUGCGAGCGUUAAUCGGAAUUACUGGGCGUAAAGCGUGCGCAGGCGGUUUUGUAAGACAGGCGUGAAAUCCCCGGGCUCAACCUGGGAACUGCGCUUGUGACUGCAAGGCUAGAGUAUGGCAGAGGGGGGUGGAAUUCCACGUGUAGCAGUGAAAUGCGUAGACAUGUGGAGGAACACCAAUGGCGAAGGCAGCCCCCUGGGCCAAUACUGACGCUCAUGCACGAAAGCGUGGGUAGCAAACAGGAUUAGAUACCCUGGUAGUCCACGCCCUAAACGAUGUCAACUAGGUGCUGGGUGGGUAAAACCAUUUAGUACCGGAGCUAACGCGUGAAGUUGACCGCCUGGGGAGUACGGCCGCAAGGUUAAAACUCAAAGGAAUUGACGGGGACCCGCACAAGCGGUGGAUGAUGUGGAUUAAUUCGAUGCAACGCGAAAAACCUUACCUACCCUUGACAUGUCCAGGAGCCUGAAGAGAUUUGAGUGUGCCCGAAAGGGAACUGGAACACAGGUGCUGCAUGGCUGUCGUCAGCUCGUGUCGUGAGAUGUUGGGUUAAGUCCCGCAACGAGCGCAACCCUUGUCGUUAAUUGCCAUCAUUUAGUUGGGCACUUUAACGAGACUGCCGGUGACAAACCGGAGGAAGGUGGGGAUGACGUCAAGUCCUCAUGGCCCUUAUGGGUAGGGCUUCACACGUCAUACAAUGGUCGGUACAAAGGGUUGCCAACCCGCGAGGGGGAGCCAAUCCCAGAAAUCCGAUCGUAGUCCGGAUCGCAGGCUGCAACUCGCCUGCGUGAAGUCGGAAUCGCUAGUAAUCGUGGAUCAGCAUGUCACGGUGAAUACGUUCCCGGGUCUUGUACACACCGCCCGUCACACCAUGGGAGCGGGUUCCGCCAGAAGUAGGUAGCCUAACCGCAAGGGGGGCGCUUACCACGGCGGGGUUCGUGACUGGGGUGAAGUCGUAACAAGGUAGCCGUAGGGGAACCUGCGGCUG
RNAcentral lists this ribosomal RNA (1287 nucleotides) under metagenome. RNAcentral describes it as "bacterial SSU rRNA". It matches the Rfam family "Bacterial small subunit ribosomal RNA", at positions 242 to 1520 of the family's 1533-position model. The record is from RNAcentral.